GACGAGGUAGAUAGGUUGGAGGUGGAAGUGCAGCAAUGCAUGGAGCUGACCAAUACUAAUCGGUCGAGGGCUUAUCCAA
This 79-nucleotide ribosomal RNA is filed under the name Paenibacillus cellulositrophicus. RNAcentral describes it as "partial 23S ribosomal RNA". It matches the Rfam family "Bacterial large subunit ribosomal RNA", at positions 2846 to 2925 of the family's 2925-position model. Lineage: Bacteria; Bacillati; Bacillota; Bacilli; Caryophanales; Paenibacillaceae. RNAcentral also lists the same sequence under 6 other names. The record is from RNAcentral.